CAGCCGUAAACAAUGUGCGUUAGGUGUGUCGGUAACCACGCGUUACUGAUGCGCCGAAGAGAAAUCGUGAAACGCACCACCUGGGAAGUACGGUCGCAAGGCUGAAACUUAAAGGAAUUGGCGGGGGAGGCACCACAACAGGUGGAGCCUGCGGUUUAAUUGGAUUCAACGCCGGACAUCUCACCGGAUAAGACAGCUGAAUGAUUGUCAAUCUGAAGGUUUUACAUGACUAGCUGAGAGGUGGUGCAUGGCGUCAGUGACU
This 262-nucleotide ribosomal RNA is filed under the name uncultured archaeon. RNAcentral's name for it is "partial 16S ribosomal RNA". It matches the Rfam family "Archaeal small subunit ribosomal RNA", at positions 748 to 1008 of the family's 1478-position model. The record is from RNAcentral.